GCCGGGUCCUAGCGCCGGGGGAAGGUUUCACGCCUGCGGGAGGGCUGGGCUCUGCCCCGCGAGGGAAGGCGGGGGGGAGGUGGCUGCGUGGAAGGGCGGUGAGAGAAGCACGUGGUUCCGUGUCAGCAUCGCGGGAGGAGUGGGCUCGCUGUGGGCGAGCUGGCAAUACAGCGAGUGGGUGAGCUGGAGCAGCGUCUGAUUGCAGGCCUGGGUGUCUGUUGGAGGCUGGUCCAGGACCUUAGAAGUGACCUGAAGGUCACCCCACUGCCUCCUGUGUUCUGACGACACAGGAAGAGUAAGUCCUUCUUUCGCCUCUGUGUCUGGUGUCCUGGCAUCACCUAUGCUUCAGCAUCUGCAGGGUAACAGUAUACAAUGAAAGUCAUUUUACCACUUAAGGAAGAUGCUGGAUUCAUAGAUCAACAUCACAGAGUGUUGUAUAGGCACGGAAAGCACACAAGGAAGCUUUGCUUUAUGCUUCAGUGCUUUGCUAGUAUAACUAGAGCACCUCAUUCUGCACAUCUCUUUAGCCUCUUCGUUCACUGAGGUACCCAACAAGGAGACCAACAAUGGUUUUGCUUGAAUAUGGACUUCAUAUUCAUCCAUGUUCUUCAAGUGUUGCAUGGCUUUGCUGUGAGAUGAGAAAUGUUUGCUGCGCUCUGCCUGCUGGAUUGCAUUUUGUUCUCCAUCCGUUUGUCCUGGGCUGUGUUUGAUUCCUACCCUGAGUUUACAGCACUGACUGAAAUGUUCUCAGAUGAGCAGGUGGGAAAACGGCCUGUAAAUCUUCAUCUUUAUAAAUGGUUUGUAAAACUUUUGGUGUUGAAAGGAACAGCUUUUUUUGUCAUUCAUGGGGAGCAGAACUCAGAAUUCUUAUUGCAAAAAGAGACCAGAGAGCAGAUGAGGCGAAAUGACAUAUUCAGGUAAAACAUGAGCCACCAGCUCACAACAAGCAAGUUCAGUGCAGUGACAGUCCUCCUGCUCUUCCCUAGGGACUGGGCAGAACUGCUCAAGAAGGAGUAGAUGGAAACAGCUGCCAAUAGAUGAGUUCUGGAAAGGAUUCAAGCCACAGUACUUGCUGCGGCUUGGGAGUUUGUGAUGGGCAGAGCUUACUGAAUGACUGGUAUCUAUGAUUUUGGACUGGACAGCUAUCAGUCAGUUCUUAGAUAUGGGACCCAGAAAAAAUAUUGCGGAACAAAGCCAUGUAUAGGGCAUUCUCUGAUAUCUUUGUAAUUUUAAAGUGAGAAAGGAAAGUACAUCUCUAACCGCAGAGCUCUAGAACAGGUUUAUCUAGCUUCAAGUGGAAAAUCAUGAUCCUUCCUGCUCAUAGACGGAAGAGACCUGAGGUCCAUAGAAUCUUGGUUCUACUUGUACAUGGACAAUUCACUAGGUUGCAUUUAGCUAGCAGGAGCUUGCAUUUUAUUUUUUUUUAACCUAAAUAUCUUUCUCAUGACAGAAGACAGCAAGAGAGAUGUUGAAGAACUGAGCCUUGAUGUCAUUUCCUCAGAGUUCGUACCAGGCAGAGCUGACAGCAGACCAGCGCCUUCCUCUUCCACGCCCAGGCUGAAGUCAAAGGCCCGUAAUGCUUGUGAGCCUGCUGACUCUCUUCUGUGAACAACCAACUGAAAAUGAAAAGUCUUUCUCACAAAUGGCAGGAUUGUAAUGUUGCCACACGGUGCUAGUCGAAACCACCUAUUUCAAACAGAACCACAUGUGAGGAAACGUUCAUGAGCUGAACGCACAGGUCUCACAGGACAUCUGUUCCCAAAUGUGAUGGAUCAUCUCCUAAAAAAAAACAAAAACAAAAAAACCAUCCUGGCUCGCAGUCAGUCAGACACAGGGCACUGCACACAGCGGUCGUCAGUGAACCAAGAGGACCCUUAUAUCCUCCCAGAACGUGAAGCUAAGCCACAGGGUAAAAUAAAAGUCAAUCAGGUUUUGUCUUUCAGAUACAUCAGCCAAGUGCAUUCGUUUGAGGAUUCAGAAGUAAAGCAUCCAUGUGAAGGAAAGGAAUGUUUUAUGGCCAAGGUGUAAGGUAGAUGAUCUUUAGGUGGAGGUGACUGUGAAUGCCGAGGUUUGUGUACCACUGAGGACCAGAGGACCAUGGCAUUGCAAGCCCUGCCGUCUGCAAAGUCAAUGGGACACCUUUACAGAGCUGGACGUUGAUGAAGGUGUAGAGGGGACAGCCCUGCCUCAGAGUCCCCUCCGAUCUGCACAGUGGUCCCGUGCCUCAGAGCACCAGUUUGUCAUCCACCAUGGUCACCACACACAAUGAGGGAGCUGAUGAGCUGUUCCCCUCUUCCUGCUUAAGAGAGAGCCUGGCAUGGGGACCCUGUUGCCCUUUCCUGCUGGAGUUCAAGGCAGGAGAAGGGACCUCAUCUUCUGCCCAGGGAGGAUGUAAGCCAGCAGCUAUGGGAAGGGCAGGAGGAGGUGACUCGCCCCACACAGGUUUGGGCUGAUGGAGGUCGAGGGGCCUCUGUGACAGGGCGUCUUCCCUGGGGCACUCACCAUGCCGUCGGAGCAGUUGGAGCGGGGGCUGGAGGCGUCCGACUCCCCGCUGUAGUGCUCCAGCACCGGGUAGUAAACGUCCUCCUGCUCCCGCAGCAGUGCCUGCAGGCUCUCGAUGUAGCGGAUGG
Cygnus olor (mute swan) is the source of this 2630-nucleotide long non-coding RNA. RefSeq lists it as uncharacterized. The transcript has 11 exons. Lineage: Eukaryota; Metazoa; Chordata; Aves; Anseriformes; Anatidae. The record is from RefSeq and is a predicted model, not a curated record.